UACGUAGGGUGCGAGCGUUGUCCGGAAUUAUUGGGCGUAAAGAGUUUGUAGGCGGUUUGUCGCGUCGUUUGUGAAAACCAGCAGCUCAACUGCUGGCUUGCAGGCGAUACGGGCAGACUUGAGUACUGCAGGGGAGACUGGAAUUCCUGGUGUAGCGGUGAAAUGCGCAGAUAUCAGGAGGAACACCGGUGGCGAAGGCGGGUCUCUGGGCAGUAACUGACGCUGAGGAACGAAAGCGUGGGUAGCGAACAGG
Molecule: ribosomal RNA, 253 nt
Filed under: uncultured bacterium
Lineage: Bacteria
Description: partial 16S ribosomal RNA
Rfam family: Bacterial small subunit ribosomal RNA
Source: RNAcentral